UACAAGAUCACAGAAAAAUAAGGCUGAAUGGGAUCCUGUUCAAGGCUUGCUCAUUCCUGUUUAAACCAUGCUCCACAAAUGUUUGUCUAACCAGCACUUAAAAGUGUGCAGUGACAGCUUCCACAGGCCCUGUAGGGAAUCUGUUCCUGUGCUUAACUACCCUCAUGGUUAGAAAAUUCUUCCUCGUAUCCAACCUAAAUCUGCCUUGUUGCAAUCUAAGGUCAUUAUUUUUAUACAGAUUGCAUAACCCCCCUAUAUGAUGGCUCAGACAGUUAAGUAGGAUGAGGACUGCUACAGAGAUGUGCUCAUCUCUGUAAGUGGAAGCUCUGAAGGCAGGGAUGGGAAAAGUUGACCUUUAGGAUCUUUUUUUCCAAGAGUAAGAGCUUGCCCAGAGCUCUACGCCUGUUUAUUUUCCUUUCCUGCUUGCAGUGGCCCUGAUACACCUCCAAAGGCUUAAGUACUUUUCCUGCUGUAAAGGACAGGACUAAAUUGAUCUUCAGAGCACUCGUGUCUCUUUGGGAGCAAUGAAUGGGUUCAGCAGUGGGUUUAGAGGUUCUGCCGGCAAUGGAAAACAAAUACUGCUAGAGUGGGAAAGAAGCAGUUCAUUAACUCCAUUACAGCGCUGGACUAUGUGCCUGUUCCCCUGGUAUUAAUCAUUCCCUCCUGCUCUGGCUCCAAAGAGACUGUCUGCUACAGCUGGAGAACCUGGCCCUUUACUGAGAGCUGUAGAAAUGCCUGGAGAGGGACUGCAGUCCAGUCCUUUGGUACCUGACAUGACGGCUGGUCAGGACCAACUCAAGUCUGGGGAAGAUGGAGUUUCUGACCCCUACAAGUGCUGGUCCUUCCUCUCUGGGUGGUGUUGCUGGGAUGGGCAGAAGUCAGAAUCCAGGAGGGCAGGUUCACACUCGACACUCAUCGCAGGUUUGGUGAACUGCAUUGCCAGGUCCCCCACCUCGGGUCUGCCAGCACCUCCACACCUCUCCAUGCUGCUGCUGGAGUCGCUGUCUGAAGAGCUUGGAUUUGGUGGCAAAGAAAUCCGGGGUGCAGCUAGAGAUCAGCUUGCUAUCUCGGCCUGGAAGCUGUGCAAGAGAGAAGAGACAUCCGGUUCAUGCCACCAUGCCUAGCUGCCUCCCAUGGCUGCCCAGGGGUGAGAAAAUCCAACAGCCCCCUGCCCAUCUGCCAGCACCUCGAGCUUCCCACCCGAAAACUUAUCAGAUGUAGCGGUGUGCUGUCACCUCUGGCACGCGGACACCUGAAACCCACAAACUGAACACAACACCGCGAAUAAAUCGCUCGGGGGACGUUCA
This is a long non-coding RNA of Alligator mississippiensis (American alligator), 1307 nucleotides long. RefSeq lists it as uncharacterized. The transcript is spliced from 3 exons. The record is from RefSeq and is a predicted model, not a curated record. Lineage: Eukaryota; Metazoa; Chordata; Crocodylia; Alligatoridae.